Molecule: long non-coding RNA, 818 nt
Organism: Canis lupus familiaris (dog)
Lineage: Eukaryota; Metazoa; Chordata; Mammalia; Carnivora; Canidae
Exons: 4
Source: RefSeq, a predicted model, not a curated record
GGGCACCUGGCUGGCUCAGUUGAUGGAGCAUGUGGCUCUCGAUCUCGGGGGUUAUCUAGAAAAAAAAAUGCUGUGAAUGGUGCAAGUUUUCAUGCCCUCCACAUCUGGCAGUUUCCUCCCAAGCCCUUUCUGGAAAUAUUGUACUCCACCUCUCAGAAAUGUCUCAUCCUCCAGCCACACACCUCGUAGUCUUCCAGCUCAGUGAAGUCAGAGGGAAAGGAGCGAUUUCCUGUUUGCUGCCAGAAGUCCAGUGGUCCUGUGAAGGCCUGCGAUUCAACUGCCUGCAGCUGGCAUGAAGACAGCAUCCUCAGAAGCAAUCCCAGAGGAAAUAGGACCUGUUUGCCGGACGUGCCCAGAGAAGGUGCUGCAGGAAAUAAAGGAGAUCUCAGGCUACGGGGCUGCUCAAGCUGCAUUGCAAUGAAGAAGAUAUUCACUUCAGGAUACAGAUGAGAAAACUGGGAUUUAGAGAUACCAAGCAGCAUACCCAAGACACAAUUAGUGUGGCACGAAGCAAAGAUUCAAACCUAGGCUCUGCUCACCAAACCACAGCAUUUCCGAUGAUUAGGAGUGGUAGACUUCAUUGUUUGCAAUGGCAAGGGCUUGGAGUAGAAAUUAAAUCCUGAAACACUGCAUGCUUGAGGUCAGUGACACCUGAUCAUUCAUAAUGUAUGUGGGGAAUGUCUGAAAGACCAAGAAAGAGCUCCUAAGAAAGAAAAUCAUAUUGGACAACACGAUGGAUGGCAUCAUGAAGUUGCAGCAAUUCUAACGUUAGCACGACAAUAUGUAUGUUACAUAUCAUCAGAACACCCGUGACACUG